RNAcentral lists this ribosomal RNA (415 nucleotides) under uncultured eukaryote. RNAcentral describes it as "bacterial SSU rRNA". It matches the Rfam family "Eukaryotic small subunit ribosomal RNA", at positions 592 to 1013 of the family's 1831-position model. The record is from RNAcentral.
CAAUAGCGUAUAUUAAAGUUGUUGCGGUUAAAAAGCUCGUAGUUGGAUUUCUGCUGAGGACGACCGGUCCGCCCUCUGGGUGAGUAUCUGGCUUGGCCUUGGCAUCUUCUUGGAGAACGUAGCUGCACUUGACUGUGUGGUGCGGUAUCCAGGACUUUUACUUUUGAGGAAAUUACGGUGUUCAAAGCAGGCUUUUGCCAUGAAUACCUCAGCAUGGAAUAACAGUGACGCUUUCGUUUCUCUGUUGGUUCAAGAAACGUGGGGCUAUGAUUAAUAGAGCCAGUCGAGGGCAUUCGUAUUGAACAGUCAGAGGUGAAAUUCUUAGAUUUGUUCAAGACGAACAACUGCGAAAGCAUCUGCCAAGGAUGGGCUCAUUAAUCAAGAACGAAAGUUAGGGGAUCGAAGAUGAUUAGAU